RNAcentral lists this ribosomal RNA (326 nucleotides) under uncultured archaeon. RNAcentral describes it as "bacterial SSU rRNA". It matches the Rfam family "Archaeal small subunit ribosomal RNA", at positions 691 to 1016 of the family's 1478-position model. The record is from RNAcentral.
CCGACGGUGAGAGACGAAAGCUGGGGGCACGAACCGGAUUAGAUACCCGGGUAGUCCCAGCCGUAAACGAUGCUCGCUAGGUGUCAGGCAUGGCGCGACCGUGUCUGGUGCCGCAGGGAAGCCGUGAAGCGAGCCACCUGGGAAGUACGGCCGCAAGGCUGAAACUUAAAGGAAUUGGCGGGGGAGCACAACAACGGGUGGAGCCUGCGGUUUAAUUGGACUCAACGCCGGACAACUCACCGGGGGCGACAGCAAUAUGUAGGCCAAGCUGAAGACUUUGCCUGAAUCGCUGAGAGGAGGUGCAUGGCCGUCGCCAGUUCGUACUG